This 263-nucleotide ribosomal RNA is filed under the name uncultured bacterium. Its description in RNAcentral is "partial 16S ribosomal RNA". It matches the Rfam family "Bacterial small subunit ribosomal RNA", at positions 524 to 786 of the family's 1533-position model. The record is from RNAcentral.
UACGUAGGGGGCGAGCGUUGUCCGAAUUUACUGGGCGUAAAGCGCGCGUAGGCGGACUCUUAAGUUGGGGGUGAAAUCCCGGGGCUCAACCCCGGAACUGCCUUCAAAACUGGGAGUCUUGAGGUAUGGAGAGGGAAGUGGAAUUCCUGGUGUAGCGGUGAAAUGCGUAGAUAUCAGGAGGAACACCCGUGGCGAAGGCGGCUUCCUGGCCAUAUCCUGACGCUGAGGUGCGAAAGCUAGGGGAGCGAACGGGAUUAGAUACC